Tannerella sp. CAG:118 is the source of this 399-nucleotide non-coding RNA. The record is from Rfam. NCBI's taxonomy places the organism in Bacteria, Pseudomonadati, Bacteroidota, Bacteroidia, Bacteroidales, Tannerellaceae.
GGGGAUGACCGGUUUUGACAGCGGGUAGAAGUGGUGUGUAAGCAUGCAGAGCGUGGAUGGCUUGCUCUUAAAUCUCAGACAUCAAAAAUUUAAAUGGCGAAAAUAAUUACGCUCUUGCUGCUUAAUCGAAGUACAGUAGAUUAACUUAAUCUCCUCAAUAGUUGGGGAGACAAGACAUCACCCGGUUGCUGUUGUUCCGAAGCGUACCGAACAGGUGGUGCAGGGAAAUCGGAAAUAGCCGAGGAUUUGUUCCGGGUCUUCGGUGAAACUUUAAGGGACUAAGGAAUGGAUUGGUGGCUUCGGUCUUGUCUGUUCCCGACAAUUUAGGCGAAGAUAAGCAUGUAGAAAGCUCAUUAGUUCCUCGUUUGGACGAGGGUUCGAAUCCCUCCAUCUCCACAU